This is a long non-coding RNA of Zingiber officinale, 735 nucleotides long. RefSeq lists it as uncharacterized. NCBI's taxonomy places the organism in Eukaryota, Viridiplantae, Streptophyta, Magnoliopsida, Zingiberales, Zingiberaceae. The transcript has 2 exons. The record is from RefSeq and is a predicted model, not a curated record.
UAAUAUCCGAACCUUGCUUUUUACCCCUCCCGAACUCAAUGUCGCCGAUGCUCUCAUCCUUCUCCCUCUCGAUCCCUCUCCCUUCUUCACCUCCUCACCUCCGGUGACCACCGGCCGUGGGACGUAGAUGGCAGCAUGAGAUUCCUCACCGUGCCCUAGCCAUCUUUAAGCGCCGACACCUUCGCCGUCCUCUCACUUGCCUCGAUCGCAAGCCCGUCUUGUGCCGAUUUCUCUUCUCCGCCCACGCGAGCGCGAUGGAAGCCGAUCCACCACCGGAUCGUCGAUCCACGCCGUCGCUCUCUUCCUUCCCUCUCUGUGUCGUUCCUGCCCAACACCCUGACGCCGCCCAGUGCUGCGUUGCCCGAUGGGCACCAGCUGAGCUGUGCCCUAGUUGCCACCAUCAGGGAGCUCCCGUUCCAAUCUAGGGUCAUCAUCCAUUUCACCGCCGGCAGCUCCUCCCUGUUCCGUCCGUCCAUGCUUGUCGCUAGAAUCUCAUGGGUAGCAGGUAGUCGAUCUCUUCUAGUCACCGUUGUCGCUGUAGUGUACCACCACCAGGGAUCCAUUGUCAGAGUGGGAAUGACCGAAUAAGGACUUUGAUUCGAGACGAGCGUCUUGACGUCGGAUUUGGUUUGAUUCGACCUUCUUUUCGAGGCGGGUACUUCUUGCUUUGUUUUCUUUUAUACUUUGACCUUAGUGUAUGAAGUAUUUGGAUAAGGACUGUUUACCUUGAUUCCA